This 213-nucleotide long non-coding RNA is filed under the name Mytilus galloprovincialis (Mediterranean mussel). The record is from RNAcentral. Lineage: Eukaryota; Metazoa; Mollusca; Bivalvia; Mytilida; Mytilidae.
UCAUGGUCAUGAGUCUGCAGUGGUACAAGUUCGCAAUGAUUGCAGUUGUUCUAGUUGAUAGUUAACGUUGGUAUUAGUUGACUGUUAGUAGUUCAAGUUAACUGUAGUACAAGCUUGUUUAAGUAUGAAUGGACUUGCUUCCCUUGAAAGAAAACUGAGAUUGUUUUCUACAGUACAAAAGUUAUGAGACCCAAAUCAGACAAAUUUUUACUA